UAAUAAAAUCAUGGUUUUAUUUUUAAUUAAUACAUACAUUUCAGUGACAGCAUUAGGAUAUAAGCAGUUUGAGACAUCAUAAAAGUGUAAACAGGUCUCUGCUCCUUUGUAUCUAUAUCAUAUUUGUAUUUAACAUGGCCUCUCUGGGCUUCCGUACUAUCCUGUCAUAUAAAUAAAAAAAUAAAAAUAAAAAAAACAACAACAAAACAAAAAAAAACGUUACCUUGUGUUUUGCCUGUUUAAAUAUAAUAGACAAAACUUUUUUUUAAAAAGGCACAUUGUACCACACAGUAUCAUGAAUUCUGCAUUUUAGGAUAUUAAUUAUUCAUUUGAAUGCAAAGCAUGGUUUGAACAAUGCUGGAAUGGUGUUGCAUUAACAGCACAGUGACGUUACAGCACUGCUCACACUGACAACAUUUGAAAUCAUUUGGCUAGCCUUAGGGAAGCUGGGGCAUUAUGAGGUGAUUUUACCUUUGCAUGAAUUACAACCCAUAUUUCCAGUGCUGUAAUGGCACGUCAUUUGAAAGGAGCUAGAACGACAGUACGGGCUUUCGUGGGCAAACUUUUUAAAGUGGCUUUAGGAUGGGAGUAACCAUAGCAAUGAAAUGUCCACCUUUGGCAAAUCCAUACGUUGACCUUUUUCCAGUGAGAUACAAAGUAUCAUUUCCCUCAUCUGUUACAAAGAUUGCGCGCGUGCCAUGAUGUCCGCCAUUGGUAUCCAAGUGCACAUGUCAACCUUUUAAAGUAACUAUUCCAGGCAGGAAUGAACCAUCAGCAAUAACAGCAACCAAAUCAAUAACAAAAAGGAUAAAACAAAGACAAAACUAGAAUAUUAGAGUGCAGAAGGGAGUCCAUUCAUUUUUUUCUAUGGGAGAAAUUUUCAACGACAUAUGCAGCAGGCAGUGCAACUAUUCAUUAAAUUAGGUUGUCAAUCAAACUACACCUAUAAUUUAUUUAAAGAAAAAAAAAUUAAUCCAUUAAUAGAGCAGUAAAUUCAGCAGUGUACUUAUGUGCUUAUUGAAGUAAGUAGGCUUUCAUUUUUAAACAAACCAAAGAGUUUACUACAGAUCCAGUGCAUGCACUCUUAUAACACACAGAGUGUGAGACGUCACUCGUAUAGUCUCGUGUGGGUCUGUGCAGGUAGCAGGCACACUCCUCUGGGUCUCAACAGUACUCUUUUAAAAACUCAAUAAAAAGAUCGAAAAAUGAUGGUGGGGGAAGGUAGAAAUCAUUUUAUAUAUAUGUCAUAUUUAGAAUUAAUAUUAACCCAAAUUUACUCAAAUCAGCUCAUAAUAUACAUUAUCUGUUAGGUGACAAUUGCCUUGUAAAUACCAAAUGUUUAACUUCUAAAUGUAAUCCCAAUCUUUGUAUUUAAAGUUACAGGAAAUAUAACACAUAGUUUUCGAACAUGUCAAGACAUACUCUUUAGUAUUAUUAAUCAUAAAUAUCACCAAUUGCUUUGUUUAUAUAAAAUGCAGGUAUAGUUACAGUAGCGGAGCUCCAAUUCGUUCCGUUAGCGUUUUAUUCUUCCUGGACAGGUCUUCUCUUCUGAAGUCCACAUUCUAGAGCAUUUUCUGAGCCUAACAAUGUGCAGAACUUCUAGGGCAGUAUAUUUGCUGAUUGCUACUUCUAUGAUGCGUCACAACAACCAGCUAAGACACUGCCAAAGAAACACUCACAGACAGCACGUACAUUUUCCUUUUUUCGUUUCUCCUCAUCCAACAAGCUGCUUCUGAAAGGGAAUAAAUACAGAGUACCUUCCAUCCCCAUCUGGCAACCAGGAUGUGAUUCAUAUUUACUUGUGGGUUGCAAGGCAAGACCGUUAAUGAGAGAUCACCGUCCAGUCAUAUUUCCUAAGGAAAAUCAAAAACAAUGAGGAAUGCAUAAAAUGUAUCUCUUCUAAAUCACUGCGGUUCUUUGAUGCAAUAUAAAGUAUGAGAUAAUUAGAACAAGUGGUGGAAUUGGCAAUUCAAAGAUAAAAUAUACUACUAAAAAGCACAAAUAACCAUAAAUAUCUUUAGUAACCAUAUGUUCAAGCUUUUACGGUUAACUGAAGGUCUUCUUCGGAGAAGAGCUGUCUACAUUGGAAGAUAAGUCUCAGACACUCUCAUUGGGCGAUUUGCGCUACAGAUCCUUUUAUGGAGUGAUGGCGCCAUUUGUGUUACUGUCUAUGAUACAGCUUUUGUCAGCUACAGGUAAACGGUCACGUCUUUAAAAUUACACCUUAGAAUAAAACAUUGAAAAUUAGACAUAACUUGUGUUCAC
Molecule: long non-coding RNA, 2265 nt
Filed under: Pelobates cultripes (western spadefoot toad)
Lineage: Eukaryota; Metazoa; Chordata; Amphibia; Anura; Pelobatidae
Source: RNAcentral